Molecule: ribosomal RNA, 482 nt
Filed under: uncultured bacterium
Lineage: Bacteria
Description: partial 16S ribosomal RNA
Rfam family: Bacterial small subunit ribosomal RNA
Source: RNAcentral
GACGAACGCUGGCGGCGUGCUUAACACAUGCCAGUCGAACGAUGAAGCAGAGAAACGCGCACUUCGGUUCAAAUUUCACUUCGGAUUAGUGGCAGACGGGUGAGUAACGCGUGAGCAACCUACCUCUUACAAAGGGAUAGCCUCGGGAAACCGUGAUUAAUACCAUAUGACACAUUCAUAAGGCAUCUUAAGAAUGUUAAAGCUACGGCGGUAAGAGAUGGGCUCGCGUCCCAUUAGCUAGUUGGUGAGGUAACGGCCCACCAAGGCGACGAUGGGUAACCGGCCUGAGAGGGUGAACGGUCACAGUGGAACUGAGACACGGUCCAAACUCCUACGGGAGGCAGCAGUGGGGAAUAUUGCACAAUGGAGGGAACUCUGAUGCAGCGACGCCGCGUGAGCGAUGAAGGAAUUCGUUUCGUAAAGCUCUGUUCUAUGGGAAGAAAAGGACUGUACCAUAGGAGAAAGCCCCGGCUAAAUACGUG